Syngnathus acus (greater pipefish) is the source of this 1880-nucleotide long non-coding RNA. RefSeq lists it as uncharacterized. The transcript is spliced from 3 exons. The record is from RefSeq and is a predicted model, not a curated record. NCBI's taxonomy places the organism in Eukaryota, Metazoa, Chordata, Actinopteri, Syngnathiformes, Syngnathidae.
UGACUGAGUUUGAGCUCAAAUAAAUGCCGCGAUGUCUGGAGCCCUUUGCAGAGGGCGCAAGGCAAAGCUUCUACAAUGGGCUCCUGCAUGUGUGGCUUAACUGCAGCCCCCCGGCCGUUUUGCACAGGGCUCUGCUGACUGAAGUGAUCCCCGCGGGCCGAGCUCUGCAGAGGAGGAAGAGAGGGAAGCGCUCCGCAGAUGCGUGCGUGCACUGCGCACGCGCGCGCGCUCCCAACUUCGCGCACUCACACAAUGUCCCUCUCACUCGUGGGUUGUGACCGGCCCAUGGCAUUGGCCAGAUGGCUUUUGGCCUCUCCUUCCUGCCCGCUGUCAUCGCGGCGGUUCCAGCGACCCGACAGCCCGGCCCAGUCGAUGUACUUGGCCGUAUCUGCGUGCGACCUGUCUGCCAUAUGUAAUAUCAAAGCCUCUGUCAGCACCGAGCUCAAUGGGAACAAAAGAGAGGCCUUCAUUAAUGAUUAACUGUUCUAAAAGCCCCGGCUUUUGUAUUCCCAUGGUGCCGAGGCUAUCUGGCCGCCAUGUGACAUGCUCGCAGCGUUUUUCGAGCAGAUUGGGGAAAGCUAGUGAGCAAACACAGGUGCUUUGGAGCGGCGUUGGCGACGCUGUCAGGGACAACCACAAACAAGAGCAGCUAUGCCUGGCUAAAUGAAUCCACCCUCCGCCUCCCCCAGACCCCCCCCCCCUGCCCCCCAUCUCCCUGUCACCGUCUAACUUGUUUGCCAGGCCACACAGCCUUCCUUAUGGAGAGUCCCUACACCCCCCACCACACAAGUCCAACGUCCACCGCAACUUCUCACACCCUCCAAAGAAACAAACAAAUAAAAGUGAGGACGGCCGACUGCUUCUUUGAGGUGAUGGCAUUUGCGGCGGUCUUGACUAGUGGAAGAGCAAACAAAUUAACGGUGUUCGAGUUUUCACUUUCCAAACCAAACUAAAUGUCUUUUAGUUCAAGUGGGGCAAUUCCACUGACCCCGGUGUCAACCGCUUGUGUAAGGACUCGCACGCUCAUGCACUUGAAAUGACCAGAACGAAAUUACGCGGGACUCGAGUACGACUGCACACAAAGCGGGUGAAUUAAUACACGGCAAAGUGACAAGUCACAAACAGAUCUUAAUGAACAAGUAUUGAUACUGACUUUAACUGAGAAUGUGCAGCAAUUAAUAUUUUCCUCCAGAGUGACUUGAUUGUUCACCCUGACUGAGCUCCUAUGUCGCCAUUUACUUUGAUAAGACAAUCUGAUGAUAGGAUGGCGUUAUCUUAACACGGCUUUCCGCCUGGGAGACAAAUGAACAAAGUGUGAUAACGGGAACAAAAGCUCACCUCUUAUUGGCCCAAGCGGCCUCCCGAUGGAAAAAUCACCAGCGUGAAAAAUUCACAUUUUCAUUUUUCUUCCUGGGCCUUUUAAAAUCACUCACACGUUUAUAAUGUCUCUCUUUGGUGUUUUAAUUUCAUGCGCUGCAAUUAACCGAGCCUAUAAAGCAUUUAUUGUCUGGAAAGAUGAUAAAAACGUACUUAAACAAACAUUUGGAAUAAACAGCUGAGGAAAUUAAGUUGUAAACACAAGGAAGAAUGAUGUGCAAUUAGAUCAUGAGACCUCAGUAAAAAUAUAACAAGAGAGGAUAAAAUUGCUAUGUUAGUUUGUGAAGCAAGAAAAGAUGCACAAAAAAGUAAUUCACUUCCAUCUUGACUUCUGCUGCUCACAAUUUUCAAUUCGCUCACAGUCAGUGGGGGCAAAGUCUGGGUUUUGUUUGCUCUAUUUCCGCAAAAUAAAUGGAAGAACUCCUGCACUAAAAACUUGUAAAAAUGAAAACAAUGAUUUUCUACUGUGCUGUAUUGUCUUGAAUAAAAAACAAUUCUCUCAA